AGAGGGGGAUGUCUGAGGCCUCGUGCGCCGCGCAGUUCGCCGACGUGGACAGCAGGGGGCUCGCUGCCUUUGGUAGAGAAAGCGCACGGGCUCGCUGAGAGUGAGGAGAGAGGCUUCGGCUCCCGGGGCGGAUCUUCAGGGUCCCGGGAACCCGGGCGUCACCGCCGUCAGUGUGACCGGGUCAGAAAGCGUGGGUCGCCGGAGCGCAGUGUGGCCGCCGCGUAGGGGCGUCAUGGAGGAGGUGCUGGCGGCGCUGGGGCGGGGGAGGCUGCCAGGGGCUCCGCAUGGUCCCAGACAGCCACGCCUGUCCGCGGCGCCCCAGCCUCUUGGUCCAGCCUGGGCCCUGCUUGCUCCCGGCCGCGGGGACUCAGGGUGGGCGGCCCAGGGGCGGCCUUCGGCCUUGGAGAUGUGAACAAGGUGACUGGGACGCUGGGGCCACCUGUCUCUCCCACCGCGGCGCCCAAGUGCCCUCGUGAUUUGAAAAGAGGGAGACACAGUGGGAGCCCAAAGCAUCUAAAGGCGGCGCUGCCGGGAUGAAGCCACAAGGAGAUGACAAGGCUGCACCCGUGUCUGAAAGCGCCUGGCCGUGGCCUACCCGGAAGAACGUAAAGCCGUGCACCGUCACUAGAGCCACGUGGGGGAAGAACGGGUAUGGCUGGGGAGAGCAAAGGCCCAGGGAGAGCCCGACUCCGACCUGGGAGAAACGUUGUCUCCCUGUGUUGCCCAGUCUGAUCUUGAACUUCUGGGCUCAAGCAAUCCUCCUAUCUCUGCCUACCAAAGUGCUGGGAUUACAGGCGUGAGCCACUGUGCCUUGCCAGUUCUGAUUAUAUCUACGUAAGCAUCCAUCAGUCUUCAGCGCUCAGCAUCCUCCCAGGGAGAUGACAGACAAGGAAGGAGGGCAUCUGCUGCACCGCUGCUCAGACUUCAGUGCGUCUGGGGACACGCAGGACGGAGGGACAUCCUCAUGUGAAGACCCAUCCUGCAGAUAUUGAUGGAGGAUCAAGGAUUCCUACCAGGACCAUGUCCUCACCCUGGGCUUUCAGGAAGUGACUAUGGGGACACCCUGCCCUGGCCUGGCCUCCCCUUUCCUCUGCACAGGUGGUGGAAGGGUUUGCAAAGGGCCCAUCAGGAGCCCCUGCACUCUUCCUCUUUUCCACCCCCAACACAGGAUGAGCCUUCGUACUGGCUUCAAACAUGCUUGAGAGUCCUCCAUAUGACCAUCUGUGGGUGGCUCUCAGGUCCCUCUCAGGGUGGUCUGACUUGAGCUGGCCUGGACUGCAUCUGCUCCUCUUCUGAGAUCUCAACCUCCCCAAGUCCUCCAGGUGCCCCAAGCACUGACUCCAGUGUUGGCCUUGCACCUCCCCUGAGCGGCUAGAGAUUCUUCUUCCCAUCACUCUUCCUGCACGGCCUCUCACCACUGCAUUUAUUAAAAGGCAGAGAAUCUGGAGAGUGCUGAUCCUAGAGCACAGCCCCAUAAUCCACCCAGCUGCCCCGAGGCUCAUGAGAGGCAGAAGAGCCACCAACCUUGCUGAACCCAUUUUGAAAAUGUCCCCAGUAAAACCUGAUUGGUGUCCACACUGCAGGACAUUGAGUUGUUUGCAUUUGCAGGUGGGGCCCAGUGGGGACAGUUGCCUCCCCAGCCCUGAAUAUGGGUUUUUGGGAACGUAGACCAGCUGAACAGAUCUGGGGCAGGUAGACUCCCUCUUGUGCUGGUGGACAGCUUGCCCAGUUGCAGUUGUCACUGACCAUGUGGAGAUGAAAUUACGUUGAGUUUCACAGAGGUCCUAGACCUGGAAGUGUGCGGGGAGCUUUGCUGAAAGCAGAGUCCAUCUCCUUGGCCUUCCUGGCUGUUUGGAUGUUCGAGUCCCCUGCAGGGCAUUCUCCUCAUGGCUGGAGCAGCCUGGCCCCUCUCACUGGAGACUUGUUUUCAAGCGAUAUUCUGCUUGGGGGAUCAUAUGGGGAUAUCAGGCUCAUAUCCCAUCAUAGAAUGGACUCCUCUGUGGCCCAAAUGCUAACUGGAGCAGUCCAAGGAGGCCGUCACCAUUUUGGAACACCUGCCAGGGUGGCCCUGGGGGUGUCGACUCCUGGUCAGGAGGAAGAGCUUUCCUCCACCUCAGUGAUUUGCCCUGGGCUGAGGCAGGCAGGAGGGGUCACAGGGGUGACUUCUAAUGAAUGAAGGUCUUGAAUUUGUUCCUCAGCCUGGGCCUACUGAGAAGAAUGGGAUAGACUUUGGGAUCUUGAUGUUUCUUGCCCCAGAGACAAAAGAACAAAGUUGACCAAAUUUUAACCCAGAUGUAAAACAGGCCUUUACAAUAAUGCCCAGAAUCUUCAAUUAUGUGUGGUAGAACGCUUUCUCUGCUUAGAAUUAUAACAUAAGUAAAUUAUUAAAAAUUAUAUUAUUAAAAAUUAUAAUUACAUGGUCAUCUUUUUUUUUUUCCCCAGGACAGAGUGUUGCUCUGUUGCCCAGGCUGGAGUGCAAUGGUGUGAUCUCAGCUCACUGCAACCUCUGCCUCCUUGGUUCAAGCAGUUCUCCUGCCUCAGCCUCCCAAGGAACUACACGCUACCAUGCCUGGCUCAUUUUUUUGUAUUUUUAGUAGAAACAGGGUUUCACCAUGUUGGCCAGGCUGGUCUUGAACUUCUGACUUCAUGAUCCACCCAUCUUGGCCUUCCAAAGUGCUGGUAUUGGAGGCGUGAGCCACCACUCCUGGUCUAAAUGCAUAUUUCUAAGUGAAAAAAGUCAAUAGGAAAAGGCUAUAUACAAUAUAAUUCCAGCAAUAUGGCAUUCUGGAAAAUGCAGAAUUAUAGUGACAGUAAAAAGAUCGGUGGUUACCAAAGGCCAGGAGUAGGGAAGGAGUGCUAAGCAGGAGUUUUUAGGGCAGUGAAUCUAUUCAGUGCACAAUGGUGGGUCCCUGACAUCAUGCAUUUGGCAAAACCCACAGGACUGUGCAACACAAAGAAUGACCCUUACUAACAUAAGCCACGGACUUUAAUAUUAACGUGUCAACAUUUAUUAUCAAUAUUGGUUUCUACAAUUUUAUCAAAUGUACAACAUGAAUGUGAGAUGUUAAAAUCGUGAAGACUGUGGCCUGAGGUGGGAGGGAAUCUAUGGGAACUCUAGGUACUUACUGCUCACUUCUGUAAACCUAAAACCAUUAUAAAAAUAAAGGAUAUUAAUUUUAAAAA
Long non-coding RNA from Callithrix jacchus (white-tufted-ear marmoset), 3183 nucleotides. RefSeq lists it as uncharacterized. The record is from RefSeq and is a predicted model, not a curated record. Lineage: Eukaryota; Metazoa; Chordata; Mammalia; Primates; Cebidae.